GGCCCCGUAGCUCAGCGGAAUUAAGAGCGCUGUUUUCCGAAAGCAGAGGUCGUGGGUUCGAUCCCCACCGGGGCCG
This 76-nucleotide transfer RNA is filed under the name Caulobacter phage BL47. It matches the Rfam family "tRNA". From Rfam's summary of the family: Transfer RNA (tRNA) molecules are approximately 80 nucleotides in length. Their secondary structure includes four short double-helical elements and three loops (D, anti-codon, and T loops). Further hydrogen bonds mediate the characteristic L-shaped molecular structure. tRNAs have two regions of fundamental functional importance: the anti-codon, which is responsible for specific mRNA codon recognition, and the 3' end, to which the tRNAs corresponding amino acid is attached (by aminoacyl-tRNA synthetases). tRNAs cope with the degeneracy of the genetic code in two manners: having more than one tRNA (with a specific anti-codon) for a particular amino acid; and 'wobble' base-pairing, i.e. permitting non-standard base-pairing at the 3rd anti-codon position. The record is from Rfam by way of RNAcentral. Lineage: Duplodnaviria; Heunggongvirae; Uroviricota; Caudoviricetes; Jeanschmidtviridae.